RNAcentral lists this transfer RNA (88 nucleotides) under Bacteroides eggerthii. RNAcentral describes it as "tRNA-Ser". It matches the Rfam family "tRNA". Rfam says of the family: Transfer RNA (tRNA) molecules are approximately 80 nucleotides in length. Their secondary structure includes four short double-helical elements and three loops (D, anti-codon, and T loops). Lineage: Bacteria; Pseudomonadati; Bacteroidota; Bacteroidia; Bacteroidales; Bacteroidaceae. The record is from RNAcentral.
GGAGAGAUGCUCGAGUGGUUGAAGAGGCACGCCUGGAAAGCGUGUAUACCCCAAAAGGGUAUCCGGGGUUCGAAUCCCCGUCUCUCCG